RNAcentral lists this ribosomal RNA (451 nucleotides) under uncultured bacterium. RNAcentral's name for it is "bacterial SSU rRNA". It matches the Rfam family "Bacterial small subunit ribosomal RNA", at positions 354 to 796 of the family's 1533-position model. The record is from RNAcentral.
GUGGGGAAUAUUGGACAAUGGGGGGAACCCUGAUCCAGCCAUGCUGCGUGUGUGAAGAAGGCCUUUUGGUUGUAAAGCACUUUAAGCGAGGAGGAGGCUACCGAGAUUAAUACUCUUGGAUAGUGGACGUUACUCGCAGAAUAAGCACCGGCUAACUCUGUGCCAGCAGCCGCGGUAAUACAGAGGGUGCAAGCGUUAAUCGGAUUUACUGGGCGUAAAGCGCGCGUAGGUGGCCAAUUAAGUCAAAUGUGAAAUCCCCGAGCUUAACUUGGGAAUUGCAUUCGAUACUGGUUGGCUAGAGUAUGGGAGAGGAUGGUAGAAUUCCAGGUGUAGCGGUGAAAUGCGUAGAGAUCUGGAGGAAUACCGAUGGCGAAGGCAGCCAUCUGGCCUAAUACUGACACUGAGGUGCGAAAGCGUGGGGAGCAAACAGGAUUAGAAACCCGAGUAGUCC